This 77-nucleotide transfer RNA is filed under the name Rhodospirillales bacterium. RNAcentral describes it as "tRNA-Arg". It matches the Rfam family "tRNA". Rfam says of the family: Transfer RNA (tRNA) molecules are approximately 80 nucleotides in length. Lineage: Bacteria; Pseudomonadati; Pseudomonadota; Alphaproteobacteria; Rhodospirillales. RNAcentral also lists the same sequence under 2 other names. The record is from RNAcentral.
GGACCCGUAGCUCAGCUGGAUAGAGCGCUGCCCUCCGAAGGCAGAGGCCGUACGUUCGAAUCGUAUCGGGUCCGCCA